RNAcentral lists this unclassified non-coding RNA (351 nucleotides) under soil metagenome. RNAcentral's name for it is "partial contains 5.8S ribosomal RNA, internal transcribed spacer 2, and large subunit ribosomal RNA". The stretch from base 1 to 120 matches the Rfam family "5.8S ribosomal RNA", at positions 35 to 154 of the family's 154-position model. The record is from RNAcentral.
GAUGAAGAACGCAGCGAAAUGCGAUAAGUAAUGUGAAUUGCAGAAUUCCGUGAAUCAUCGAAUCUUUGAACGCACAUGGCGCCUUCCAGUAUCCUGGGAGGCAUGCCUGUCCGAGCGUCGUUUCAACCCUCGAGCCCCCGUGGCCCGGCGUUGGGGAUCUGCCACGGCAGGCCCCUAAAACCAGUGGCGGACCCGAAGGCCCUCCCCUUUGCGCAGUAGCAUCAGCCUCGCAUUGGGAUCCCUCGGCGUCCUGCCUCUAAACCCCCCACAAGUCCGCUCCGGCGGCACCAAGGUUGACCUCGGAUCAGGUAGGAAUACCCGCUGAACUUAAGCAUAUCAAUAAGCGGAGGA